CCUACGGGUGGCAGCAGUGGGGAAUAUUGCACAAUGGGGGAAACCCUGAUGCAGCGACGCCGCGUGAGUGAAGAAGUAAUUCGUUACGUAAAGCUCUAUCAGCAGGGAAGAAACACUGACCUUACGGUCAGCAGACGGUACCUGAGUAAGAAGCACCGGCUAACUACGUGCCAGCAGCCGCGGUAAUACGUAGGGGGCAAGCGUUAUCCGGAUUUACUGGGUGUAAAGGGAGCGUAGACGGUGCGCCAAGUCUGGAGUGAAAUGCCGCAGUUUAACUGCGGAACUGCUUUGGAAACUGGCGAACUAGAGUGCGGGAGGGGUAAGCGGAAUUCCUAGUGUAGCGGUGAAAUGCGUAGAUAUUAGGAGGAACACCGGUGGCGAGGGCGGCUUACUGGACCGUAACUGACGUUGAGGCUCGAAAGCGUGGGGAGCAAACAGGAUUAGAUACCCCGGUAGUC
This 458-nucleotide ribosomal RNA is filed under the name uncultured bacterium. RNAcentral's name for it is "partial 16S ribosomal RNA". It matches the Rfam family "Bacterial small subunit ribosomal RNA", at positions 338 to 795 of the family's 1533-position model. The record is from RNAcentral.